AGUGAACGCUGGCGGUAGGCCUAACACAUGCAAGUCGAACGGCAGCACAGUAAGAGCUUGCUCUUACGGGUGUCGAGUGGCGGACGGGUGAGGAAUACAUCGGAAUCUACUUUUUCGUGGGGGAUAACGUAGGGAAACUUACGCUAAUACCGCAUACGACCUACGGGUGAAAGCAGGGGAUCUUCGGACCUUGCGCGAUUGAAUGAGCCGAUGUCGGAUUAGCUAGUUGGCGGGGUAAAGGCCCACCAAGGCGACGAUCCGUAGCUGGUCUGAGAGGAUGAUCAGCCACACUGGAACUGAGACACGGUCCAGACGCCUACGGGAGGCAGCAGUGGGGAAUAUUGGACAAUGGGCGCAAGCCUGAUCCAGCCAUACCGCGUGGGUGAAGAAGGCCUUCGGGUUGUAAAGCCCUUUUGUUGGGAAAGAAAAGCAGCAGGUUAAUACCCCGCUGUUCUGACGGUACCCAAAGAAUAAGCACCGGCUAACUUCGUG
Molecule: ribosomal RNA, 492 nt
Filed under: uncultured bacterium
Lineage: Bacteria
Description: partial 16S ribosomal RNA
Rfam family: Bacterial small subunit ribosomal RNA
Source: RNAcentral